This 2916-nucleotide ribosomal RNA is filed under the name Vibrio parahaemolyticus. Its description in RNAcentral is "bacterial LSU rRNA". It matches the Rfam family "Bacterial large subunit ribosomal RNA". The record is from RNAcentral. Lineage: Bacteria; Pseudomonadati; Pseudomonadota; Gammaproteobacteria; Vibrionales; Vibrionaceae.
GUUGUAUGGUUAAGUGACUAAGCGUACACGGUGGAUGCCUUGGCAGUCAGAGGCGAUGAAAGACGUAGUAACUUGCGAUAAGCCCAGAUUAGGUAGUAACAACCAUUUGAGUCUGGGAUUUCUGAAUGGGGAAACCCACGUGCAUAAGCACGUAUCCUUACCUGAAUACAUAGGGUAAGGAGGCGAACCGGGGGAACUGAAACAUCUAAGUACCCUGAGGAAAAGAAAUCAACCGAGAUUCCGAAAGUAGCGGCGAGCGAAAUUGGACUAGCCCUUAAGCUUUACACGCGUUAGACGAACGGUCUGGAAAGUCCGACGAUACAGGGUGAUAGUCCCGUAGUUGACGACGUGUGUUCAGUGAAAUUGAGUAGGGCGGGACACGUGAUAUCCUGUCUGAAUAUGGGGGGACCAUCCUCCAAGGCUAAAUACUACUGACUGACCGAUAGUGAACCAGUACCGUGAGGGAAAGGCGAAAAGAACCCCUGUGAGGGGAGUGAAAUAGAACCUGAAACCGUGUACGUACAAGCAGUAGGAGCAGGCUUUGUCCUGUGACUGCGUACCUUUUGUAUAAUGGGUCAGCGACUUAUAUUCAGUGGCAAGGUUAACCAUCUAGGGGAGCCGUAGGGAAACCGAGUCUUAACUGGGCGUUCAGUCUCUGGAUAUAGACCCGAAACCAGGUGAUCUAGCCAUGGGCAGGUUGAAGGUUGAGUAACAUCAACUGGAGGACCGAACCGACUAAUGUUGAAAAAUUAGCGGAUGACUUGUGGCUAGGGGUGAAAGGCCAAUCAAACCUGGAGAUAGCUGGUUCUCCCCGAAAGCUAUUUAGGUAGCGCCUCGGACGAAUACUACUGGGGGUAGAGCACUGUUAAGGCUAGGGGGUCAUCCCGACUUACCAACCCUUUGCAAACUCCGAAUACCAGUAAGUACUAUCCGGGAGACACACGGCGGGUGCUAACGUCCGUCGUGGAGAGGGAAACAACCCAGACCGCCAGCUAAGGUCCCAAAUUACUACUAAGUGGGAAACGAUGUGGGAAGGCUCAGACAGCCAGGAUGUUGGCUUAGAAGCAGCCAUCAUUUAAAGAAAGCGUAAUAGCUCACUGGUCGAGUCGGCCUGCGCGGAAGAUGUAACGGGGCUAAGUAGUAAACCGAAGCUGCGGCAAUGUGCUUUUGCACAUUGGGUAGGGGAGCGUUCUGUAAGCGGUUGAAGGUGUGUGGUAACGCAUGCUGGACGUAUCAGAAGUGCGAAUGCUGACAUGAGUAACGAUAAAGGGGGUGAAAAACCUCCUCGCCGGAAGACCAAGGGUUCCUGUCCAACGUUAAUCGGGGCAGGGUAAGUCGACCCCUAAGGCGAGGCCGAAAGGCGUAGUCGAUGGGAAACGGGUUAAUAUUCCCGUACUUCUUACAAUUGCGAUGGGGGGACGGAGAAGGCUAGGUGGGCCUGGCGACGGUUGUCCAGGUUCAAGUGCGUAGGCUUAAGAGUUAGGUAAAUCCGGCUCUUUUUAAGGCUGAGACACGACGUCGAGCACCUACGGGUGUGAAGUCAUUGAUGCCAUGCUUCCAGGAAAAGCCUCUAAGCUUCAGAUUGUAAGGAAUCGUACCCCAAACCGACACAGGUGGUCGGGUAGAGAAUACCAAGGCGCUUGAGAGAACUCGGGUGAAGGAACUAGGCAAAAUGGUACCGUAACUUCGGGAGAAGGUACGCUCUUGAUGGUGAAGUCCCUCGCGGAUGGAGCUGACGAGAGUCGCAGAUACCAGGUGGCUGCAACUGUUUAUUAAAAACACAGCACUGUGCAAAAUCGUAAGAUGACGUAUACGGUGUGACGCCUGCCCGGUGCCGGAAGGUUAAUUGAUGGGGUUAGACUUCGGUCGAAGCUCUUGAUCGAAGCCCCGGUAAACGGCGGCCGUAACUAUAACGGUCCUAAGGUAGCGAAAUUCCUUGUCGGGUAAGUUCCGACCUGCACGAAUGGCGUAAUGAUGGCCACGCUGUCUCCACCCGAGACUCAGUGAAAUUGAAAUCGCUGUGAAGAUGCAGUGUACCCGCGGCUAGACGGAAAGACCCCGUGAACCUUUACUACAGCUUGGCACUGAACAUUGACCCUACAUGUGUAGGAUAGGUGGGAGGCUUUGAAGCACGUACGCCAGUAUGUGUGGAGCCGUCCUUGAAAUACCACCCUUGUAGUGUUGAUGUUCUAACGUCGACCCCUAAUCGGGGUUGCGGACAGUGCCUGGUGGGUAGUUUGACUGGGGCGGUCUCCUCCCAAAGAGUAACGGAGGAGCACGAAGGUGGGCUAAUCACGGUUGGACAUCGUGAGGUUAGUGCAAUGGCAUAAGCCCGCUUGACUGCGAGAAUGACAAUUCGAGCAGGUGCGAAAGCAGGUCAUAGUGAUCCGGUGGUUCUGAAUGGAAGGGCCAUCGCUCAACGGAUAAAAGGUACUCCGGGGAUAACAGGCUGAUACCGCCCAAGAGUUCAUAUCGACGGCGGUGUUUGGCACCUCGAUGUCGGCUCAUCACAUCCUGGGGCUGAAGUCGGUCCCAAGGGUAUGGCUGUUCGCCAUUUAAAGUGGUACGCGAGCUGGGUUUAGAACGUCGUGAGACAGUUCGGUCCCUAUCUGCCGUGGGCGUUGGAAGAUUGAAGGGGGCUGCUCCUAGUACGAGAGGACCGGAGUGGACGAACCUCUGGUGUUCGGGUUGUGUCGCCAGACGCAUUGCCCGGUAGCUAAGUUCGGAAUCGAUAACCGCUGAAAGCAUCUAAGCGGGAAGCGAGCCCUGAGAUGAGUCUUCCCUGAUACUUUAAGUAUCCUAAAGGGUUGUCGGAGACUACGACGUUGAUAGGUCAGGUGUGUAAGUGCUGUGAGGCAUUGAGCUAACUGAUACUAAUUGCCCGUGAGGCUUAACCAUACAACACCCAAGGGGUUU